UGUAAGGGGUCUAUACUGGGAGUGCUCCACCUGUUCCCAUUCCGAACACAGAAGUGAAAUCUUCCAAGGCCGAUGGUAGUCGCAAGGCGAGAGUAGGUAGGCCCCCUACA
This 110-nucleotide ribosomal RNA is filed under the name Parcubacteria group bacterium GW2011_GWA1_49_26. The record is from RNAcentral. RNAcentral also lists the same sequence under 3 other names.